UGGGGAAUAUUGCGCAAUGGGCGAAAGCCUGACGCAGCAACGCCGCGUGAGUGAUGAAGGCCUUCGGGUCGUAAAGCUCUGUCGGAGGGAACGAAAGACUCGCGAGUGAAUACUUCGCGAGAGUGACGGUACCGUUAAAGGAAGCCACGGCUAACUCUGUGCCAGCAGCCGCGGUAAUACAGAGGUGGCAAGCGUUGUUCGGAAUUACUGGGCGUAAAGGGCGCGUAGGCGGCCCUCUAAGUCAGACGUGAAAUCCCCCGGCUUAACCUGGGAACUGCGUCUGAUACUGGAGGGCUUGAGUAUGGGAGAGGGAUGUAGAAUUCCAGGUGUAGCGGUGAAAUGCGUAGAUAUCUGGAGGAAUACCGGUGGCGAAGGCGGCAUCCUGGACCAUUACUGACGCUGAGGCGCGAAAGCUAGGGGAGCAAACAGGAUUAGAUACCCAAGUAGUCCCUGAGCGGGCUGGCAAGGCGCAU
This 473-nucleotide ribosomal RNA is filed under the name uncultured bacterium. RNAcentral describes it as "bacterial SSU rRNA". It matches the Rfam family "Bacterial small subunit ribosomal RNA", at positions 355 to 825 of the family's 1533-position model. The record is from RNAcentral.